UGCAAGUCGAACGAGAGAUGAAGAGCUUGCUCUUCAAAUCGAGUGGCGAACGGGUGAGUAACGCGUGAGGAACCUGCCUCAAAGAGGGGGACAACAGUUGGAAACGACUGCUAAUACCGCAUAAGCCCGCGGCUCGGCAUCGAGCAGAGGGAAAAGGAGCAAUCCGCUUUGAGAUGGCCUCGCGUCCGAUUAGCUAGUUGGUGAGGUAAUGGCCCACCAAGGCGACGAUCGGUAGCCGGACUGAGAGGUUGAACGGCCACAUUGGGACUGAGACACGGCCCAGACUCCUACGGGAGGCAGCAGUGGGGAAUAUUGCACAAUGGGGGAAACCCUGAUGCAGCGACGCCGCGUGGAGGAAGAAGGUCUUCGGAUUGUAAACUCCUGUUGUUGAGGAAGAUAAUGACGGUACUCGACAAGGAAGUGACGGCUAACUACGUGCCAGCAGCCGCGGUAAAACGUAGGUCACAAGCGUUGUCCGGAAUUACUGGGUGUAAAGGGAGCGCAGGCGGGAGAACAAGUUGGAAGUGAAAUCCAUGGGCUCAACCCAUGAACUGCUUUCAAAACUGUUUUUCUUGAGUAGUGCAGAGGUAGGCGGAAUUCCCGGUGUAGCGGUGGAAUGCGUAGAUAUCGGGAGGAACACCAGUGGCGAAGGCGGCCUACUGGGCACCAACUGACGCUGAGGCUCGAAAGUGUGGGUAGCAAACAGGAUUAGAUACCCUGGUAGUCCACACCGUAAACGAUGAUUACUAGGUGUUGGAGGAUUGACCCCUUCAGUGCCGCAGUUAACACAAUAAGUAAUCCACCUGGGGAGUACGACCGCAAGGUUGAAACUCAAAGGAAUUGACGGGGGCCCGCACAAGCAGUGGAGUAUGUGGUUU
This 878-nucleotide ribosomal RNA is filed under the name uncultured bacterium. RNAcentral describes it as "bacterial SSU rRNA". It matches the Rfam family "Bacterial small subunit ribosomal RNA", at positions 56 to 947 of the family's 1533-position model. The record is from RNAcentral.